Molecule: ribosomal RNA, 467 nt
Filed under: uncultured bacterium
Lineage: Bacteria
Description: bacterial SSU rRNA
Rfam family: Bacterial small subunit ribosomal RNA
Source: RNAcentral
UACGAGGACGACGCUGGCGGCGUGCUUAACACAUGCAAGUCGAACGGUAAGGCCCUUCGGGGUACACGAGUGGCGAACGGGUGAGUAACACGUGGGUGAUCUGCCCUGCACUUCGGGAUAAGCCUGGGAAACUGGGUCUAAUACCGGAUAGGACCAUGGACUUCACGGUUUGUGGUGGAAAGCUUUUGCGGUGUGGGAUGGGCCCGCGGCCUAUCAGCUUGUUGGUGGGGUAAUGGCCUACCAAGGCGACGACGGGUAGCCGGCCUGAGAGGGUGUCCGGCCACACUGGGACUGAGAUACGGCCCAGACUCCUACGGGAGGCAGCAGUGGGGAAUAUUGCACAAUGGGCGCAAGCCUGAUGCAGCGACGCCGCGUGAGGGAUGACGGCCUUCGGGUUGUAAACCUCUUUCAAUAGGGACGAAGCGCAAGUGACGGUACCUAUAGAAGAAGCACCGGCCAACUACGUG